GAUGAAGAACGCAGCGAAAUGCGAUAAGUAAUGUGAAUUGCAGAAUUCAGUGAAUCAUCGAAUCUUUGAACGCACAUUGCGCCCCUUGGUAUUCCGAGGGGCAUGCCUGUUCGAGCGUCAUUAUAACCCCUCAAGCUCAGCUUGGUGUUGGGGCCUGCUGCACUGGCAGCCCUUAAAAUCAGUGGCGGCGCCAUCUGGCUCUAAGCGUAGUAAUUCUUCUCGCUAUGGAGUCCUGGUGGAUGCUUGCCAUCAACCCCCAAUUUUUCUAUGAUUGACCUCGGAUCAGGUAGGGAUACCCGCUGAACUUAAGCAUAUCAAUAAGCGGAGGA
RNAcentral lists this unclassified non-coding RNA (329 nucleotides) under soil metagenome. RNAcentral describes it as "partial contains 5.8S ribosomal RNA, internal transcribed spacer 2, and large subunit ribosomal RNA". The stretch from base 1 to 120 matches the Rfam family "5.8S ribosomal RNA", at positions 35 to 154 of the family's 154-position model. The record is from RNAcentral.